CACGCAGGCGGUCGGUCAAGUCUGAUGUGAAAGCUCCUGGCUUAACUGGGAGAGGUCGUUGGAAACUGAUCGACUUGAGGUAAUGAGAGGGGUGUGGAAUUCCCGGUGUAGUGGUGGAAUGCGUAGAUAUCGGGAGGAACACCAGUGGCGAAAGCGGCACCCUGGCAUUGACCUGACGCUCAUGUGCGAAAGCGUGGGGAGCGAACG
Molecule: ribosomal RNA, 207 nt
Filed under: uncultured bacterium
Lineage: Bacteria
Description: partial 16S ribosomal RNA
Rfam family: Bacterial small subunit ribosomal RNA
Source: RNAcentral